UACGUAGGUGGCAAGCGUUGUCCGGAUUUAUUGGGUUUAAAGGGUGCGUAGGCGGUUCUUUAAGUCAGCAGUGAAAUCCCCCGGCUCAACCGGGGAGGUGCUGAUGAUACUGGAGGACUUGAGUACUGAUGAGGUAGGCGGAAUGGACGGUGUAGCGGUGAAAUGCUUAGAGAUCGUCCAGAACACCGAUAGCGAAGGCAGCUUACUAAGGAGUAACUGACGCUGAGGCACGAAAGUGUGGGGAUCAAACAGG
Molecule: ribosomal RNA, 253 nt
Filed under: uncultured bacterium
Lineage: Bacteria
Description: partial 16S ribosomal RNA
Rfam family: Bacterial small subunit ribosomal RNA
Source: RNAcentral